RNAcentral lists this small RNA (213 nucleotides) under Paenibacillus sp. Its description in RNAcentral is "c-di-AMP sequence". It matches the Rfam family "c-di-AMP riboswitch aptamer (ydaO/yuaA leader)". Rfam says of the family: This family represents a conserved RNA structure found upstream of the ydaO and yuaA genes in Bacillus subtilis and related genes in other bacteria. The ydaO/yuaA element is thought to act as a genetic "off" switch for the ydaO and yuaA genes in its native state. Lineage: Bacteria; Bacillati; Bacillota; Bacilli; Caryophanales; Paenibacillaceae. The record is from RNAcentral. RNAcentral also lists the same sequence under 1 other name.
GAACCAGUCUCGCUAAAUCUCCUAACUAUUGGAGAACGGGGGAACCAAUAUGACUGAUACUGAUUAUUGAUAGACACAGGCAUAUCUGAUUUCUUUUAUUGGGUCUUUGGGGUGAAUUCAAGGGCAUCCGCCAUGAGCGGUUGACCUAAGAUCGGGCGGCUCUCUUUCGUCCAAACCCGACAGCUAACCUCGUAAGCGCAAUGAAGAGAGGCA